GUCGAUUCACUUCUGCAUGAACCCAGUCGCUGAUGCGAAGUGCAGAGCUCAGCGCUGUUAGAGAAUCCGCGAGGCCUCUGUGACUGCGCAUGCUCCGAGCUCCAGUCCUACGACCUCCUUGGAGGGAAGACGACCCCCAACGCUAGCGCAAGGGGACGGAGGUGGUUGUGGGUUUUGUGCCUGCAGAGGUACAAUCAAUAGUCUUUUGGCUCCAGAGUCCAUUUAACAUCUCAGCAAUUAAGUCACAGGAACCCUCCGAAGCACCACCCUCUAAAUCGCAGCUGUAUGUACUAAGGGAUAUGUAAUGAGAGCACAAGUUUGUGGACAGCGGGUCAACCGUGACAAACAGGAUUCUUGGAGAACGAGGAGAGUUCAGUGCAGUUGCCAGAGUUGACAUGCAGUGUGUUUCCCGUGAUUGGUGUGGAUCUCAGUUGACAUGCAGUGUGUUUCCCGUGAUUGGUGUGGUUCUCAGGGGCUUGCUUUAAAUUUGGGCAGUGUUAAACGGUUGCUAUUUCUAUGCUGGUGCUUGUACCAUAAUCAUAUAAGAUGGUGAAAUAGGUGUGGGCCUUAAGACCUUAAGGAAUUUAAGAUCCAAUUUUUUAAACUGUAAAAUAUCUAAUAUGUUAUAUCUUUAAGAUUUGAUCUUUUAAGAUGCUUGAGUUAAGUGAAACUGAUAAGAAACUGCUAUUUCUCUAGUUUUUAAGAAUUUAUGGAGUGAUCUAUAAUACCUCAGGAAGAGCUGUUCCUUUUGAGCUGAAGAACAUAUUGCAUUUCCUGUUUCAUUGCAGAGAUAUUUCCCUACUUGAAAAUGCUAUCGUCUUUUCAUCCACACAAAAAUUGUGAAACAGAGGGGGCCGGGGCCAGCAAGGAAGUUAUAAAGAAAAGUAAUUUCACAUUAGUUGGGCUGGAAACCAGUAGCUUAAUUUUAAUAUGACCAAGUGGAUUAUUUGUUAUUUAUAUCUGUUUUAAGAGUAAUAACUAAAUAUUGCCUUCAGAAAUAGAUGAUUUAAAGUAUAUUUAUGUAUUGCCUAAAUGAUUAAGUAUAAUCACCAAACAGCUUUUUGAAAUGUAUCAUUGUACAUAGACAUUUCCAGAAAAUUAGUGUUCUGUGAAUUUUCUGUAUUUCAUUAUAAGUAAGGUAUUCUCUAACUAUUGAAAAAUAAGUAUGACUUUUCUAUUUUUCACACCCUCUCAGUUUCCUUUUUGAUAAUAACACAUUUGUAUUUCUUCUAUUACAUAUAGAAGUAAAGAUAAAUAUUUGGGAUAAAUGUGGAAGGGACAGAAAUAAUCACGUCUUUUAAGUAACUUGCAGUACUCUUUUUAGUUGGUAUAAAAACCAAACACUCAUGAAGAAAUAGAGGUAUUUAAAGCCAAUAAGAAAUUAUUGGAAAUAGUAUUGAGGGAUUCUGGCUUCAAGUAUGGUAUGGACUCAGUUUCAAGGAGGAAGUGAAGUUGAAUCUGUGCUUUGAAGGAUAAGUUGCUUAACAUCAUGGAGGUAGAGGGCAUUUCAGGUGGGAGAGGAAAGCAAAAAGCCUAAAGAGCAGUGGAGACAAGAAUGAGGAAGGCACAUGGUGAGGAUGGUGGAGAGAGGGAUCAGCUUGGAGAAGACAGCGUUUGCUGGGACUAAGGAGGAUAGUGGGAAGGAAGAUUUUCCGGAGAAUGUACUGUGGUUAUGAAGACCCUAAAAACCAAGCAAAAGCAUCUCGAUGCAGUGUAAUAAGCAACAGCAAGACAUUGAUAUUGAGUAGUUUCUUCAGUCUCAAUAUUUGCAUAUAAAUUGCAUAUAAAUUUUUUCUAAUACUUAAUAGAAACUAAAAUCAAACCUCUAUUCUUGUUUUCAUCAACUUAAAAUUUUCAUUUCAAAUGAAAGUUUCCCCUUUAUUAUUUAAAGGAUUGAAAUAAAACCCUAAUCUAGAACAUAUGGAAAAACAUCUCUGAAUACAUCAUAGGAAAAAUGACUCCUGGAAUAAUUGCAGUUAUGAUUUUAAUAGGGUAGAAGGAUUGCAUUGCAUUGUUCCGGAAAGCUAAACAAGACUUACGCAUGCCAGUCUUUUAGUAAUAAGGAUGACGGUACAGAGCAAAGGAAAAAAACUGGUGAGUACUCGCAACGUUGGCAUUUGUGGCUGUGGACGGGCAUAUCGGGAGUUACUGUCUACCGUGGGGAGCCAGGAGCAGGAGUCGGUCGAGAACUUACUAGCUCUUCUCCACACUCAGAAACAGGCCACACACAAUGCUGAACACCAGGUUGCAUGUCAAGUGCCUUCUGACUCACUCCUUAGUAUGGAGAAUGGUGAUAAAUAAUGCAAAUUUCCAUUUUCAAGAACAUUUGCCCUAUUUCACUCUAUCUCCUUAGCCUUUCAUCUCUAAUCUGAAGAAAGCAGGAUAGGUGAAACUUGCUUAGCAUACAGUUAAUGAUUAGCAGAAGAACCAGGAUUCAACUUUAGCUUAUUCUGAUUUCGAAUCUGGAAGUUGACUUUGUAACAAGCAUCUUAUGUAACACGCAUCGUAUGCACAUUGCUUUGGUUUUCUGUGUCUACAUAAACCAAUAAGGUAAUUUAGUGUCCUUGCAGAAGAAGAAACUCUGCGAUGAAAAUUGGAACUGAAACUAAACACAAGUUUUGAUGAAAGAUUGCUUUGACAAGAUUUAUUGUUGUUACUAUGGACCUCAAGCACGCCACAUUUUGUACAGAGAAGAUAUUCUGUGUGAAUAACUCAGUAAUUAUUAUAAUGUUGAAAAAUGUUCUCUCAACAAUAAGUUCCUCAUUUUAAAUAAGAGAAAACAUAUUGAUUGAAGUGACCAAGGAGAAGUAUCCCAAUAUCAUGAGAAAAUAUUUACUUUAUUGAUAACAAAAAUAUUAGUUGCUUUCAGAAAUAUUUUUUGGCAAAAUAAGGGUCUGAAUAUAACCAUUUCAGUUAUUUAGUUAUUACAGUCUAGAGUCUAGAGUUUAGUUCACAUUUUCUGAAGCAAAUUAAUAUGAACGCAUGUUGAAUUGAGCAGGAUUACUUUUGAAGGACUUUGGGAUAUGGUAAGGAAAGUUUCUUCUUGCUUCCUUUGUACUGUAAAGCAGUAAACAUAAUUCUCUGACCUGUAAGUUAAAAAUAGUCUGGUAUAAAGUCAUGAGGAAAUGGUUUCUUCCUUGAAGUAGAGGAAUGCACUUCAGCAAUAAGCUUAUGCUAAUCUCUACUUUCAUGCUAUUUGGUGGAACAAAUCAAUGCGUUGCCUGGUAAUUGGCUUCCAAUUAAUUCUCCAUUUAGUUUUGACACAGGACUCUUUGGGUACAAAGGGACAAGCUUAACUUUGAGCCUGCGAUUACGGGGAUUAUGCUGUGCUAAGGGAAUUUUAAAAUUUGGAACUGACAUACUGAUAUAAGCAAGGGACAUACCACUUAGGGCAAGCUGGGGAUAGGUGAGGGUGGAAUCAAAAUCACUGCAAAGAGAAAGGAAUCUGGUUUUGGAGAUUUACAAUGGAAAUUGGCCCUACUUAAGGAUGCUGGGACUUGAAUAAAUUGUGCUAUAGAUUUGACCCUGUGGAUUUAUUGUAAAACCGAACAAAACCAAAACAAAAAAAAACCCAAAAAUCAAUUAACCGAGACAAUCCAUAUGCUUAAACCAGUCCUACAAUUCAGACCAUGUUUCACAAGCAGAAAUGAAUUCGCAAGCAUGAUUUUUACAUGGGUAUGUCUAAUGGUAGAGUAUGGGACUACAUUUAGUUUUUAGUAGUGUGAAUUUCUGUCUUUCUUUGGUCUCUUUUCCAUGCCUUGCAUCGUAAGUUUUAGAGGAGUGGAGGAAAAAUUAAAUCUUCACUUAAUUUUCUGGUGCCAGUAUAUUUAAAAUUCUAGCAGGAGGCAACUCUUCCUUAUCUAAUAUUUAACUACUUUCUAUGAUAUUUAUAUUUUUUCCUUCUACCUUAUGAGUUAAAUAUAUAAAUCCUUAUAUUGCUAUGCUUGUUAUAGGUGCCAAGUAUGUGUGUGUGUAUCUAUAUUUGACACCUGUAACAUACCCAAAAAAGAAGUAACUAACCAUUUCACCAACAAGCCCUUUCUGUUGGCUUCUUCAUUUGGUUAAGGACAUUAUCUCAGUGACUCAUGACUCUCUUCCUCUGCUUGCUUAUUAAAGAAUUUGUUGUAGCCUGAGGACUGUACUGCUUCGUGCCCUCUUUCAUCUGUUUCUUUCUUUUUAUUCCCACUGCUGGAAUCAAGUUCAGGACUUCGCCACCUCUAGCCUGGAUUAUUGAUUUGCUUUCUAACAGGAUGCCAUUAUCUCAAUAAUAACUGAUGGAACUGAGAAAGAUACAUUUUUCUUUCUUUCUGUUGUGUUUAGAUUUGCUCUAAACUUGUAAUAUUUUUGCUAAAAAGUAUCAGUGAUUACCCAUCAUUAGCGGUGAAGCUGGCUGUAGACUUCUUUUUCUGACGCUCAAGUCAGCCCCGAAGUUGUCCAUUUUUUCUUUUAAUCUCCUUUUCCUCUAUUGCGCUAAACAGCUGCCAAACUCAUUGCUAUUUCAUGAACAUGCCUUACCAAAGACUUGCAUGGUGCAGUUUGCACCCUGAUGUUGCCACCACCUGGAGUGUGCUCUUCCUUUUCUCUUGCCCCAGUUCUGUUUACUUGACAUGUGUUCUAGAUACAUUCUUUAUGAAAUAUUUCUGAUUUUUCUAAACAAGAUGUGAUCAGUUUUUCCUCUGCACCAUCAUAACUGUGUAAACAACUUCCGUGCCGGAUUUUUGUUUGCUCUUUUCUAUUACAGCUUUAAUUUUUUCUUGUUUCUCCUUUUAGACUGUAAAAAUACUGGGGAAAAAGAACUGUAUUUUAUUAUUUCCUGUAUCUUCUAUCUAGUGUAUGUCUCCAUGCCUUGUAUAAAAUGGGAACUCUGUAAACGUUUGUUAGAUUGAGAGUAAUUUGUCACAGAUAUAUAUACAUAAAAUUGAUGUAAUGUACUCUGAAGUACACCGCCAGGAAGGAAUAUUUACAAUACACAUGAAGGUACAACUUAAAAAAAAAGGUAUAUUUUGUUUUUCAAACAAUCUUGGUUGAUGAUAGGUCUUCUGAAUGGUAGUCUAUGGUCUUGCUGGUUCAAACAAAAUAAAAUCCUCUCAAACUCC
Callithrix jacchus (white-tufted-ear marmoset) is the source of this 5096-nucleotide long non-coding RNA. RefSeq lists it as uncharacterized. NCBI's taxonomy places the organism in Eukaryota, Metazoa, Chordata, Mammalia, Primates, Cebidae. The record is from RefSeq and is a predicted model, not a curated record.